UGAAAUGUCUGAUACGACCAUUUCAAAGUUAUGUAAAUUGAAUGCAGCAACAACAGGGGGGGGGGGCGGAGACGCCCCCCCCCUUUUAAAAAUAAAAAUGAUCAAAUCAAGUAUGAUCUUGGUUUGAUCAAACCAAAAACCCCUACCAUAAAAGGGUUUUUGAAAAGAAUGGACGAUAUACAACGUCCAAACGU
Molecule: unclassified non-coding RNA, 194 nt
Filed under: Oryza sativa alphaendornavirus
Lineage: Riboviria; Orthornavirae; Kitrinoviricota; Alsuviricetes; Martellivirales; Endornaviridae
Source: RNAcentral